Mauremys reevesii (Reeves's turtle) is the source of this 655-nucleotide long non-coding RNA. RefSeq lists it as uncharacterized. The transcript is spliced from 3 exons. The record is from RefSeq and is a predicted model, not a curated record. NCBI's taxonomy places the organism in Eukaryota, Metazoa, Chordata, Testudines, Geoemydidae.
CUGAACAUCCAUAUACUCGCAUCAUCCCUUGCAGAACAACCUGAAAUGUUCACUGUUAUCUUCCUCAGCCCAAUCACCUACCUCAUCAUCACCAGUAGCCAUCAUCUUGGCACCUUCCAAGGGCUAAAUCUCUCUCUUCUCCUGCAUACAGAACUGCUGGAACUCCAGGUUUUGGAGCGAAAACUGUUGCUGUGAAUCCUUCUGAGAAGAAAGGGGAGAGGGAGUGAGGGAGGAGGAAAGGACUCUGGCCUCCUCCCUCCUAAGCCAUGUUUCUGGUCUCACUGAGACCAGCAUUACUCAAGAGACACUUCAAGGAAGAAUAUGGAAUGACUCCAGAUUAACAUGGGGGCAAAUAAAAUCAGGAUAUGUCCCUCUGGGGAAGGGGUUUCAGUUGUUGCUAAAUGGGGGAGAAGCCCUCAGUCUCUGUCUGACUGUGUCUCUCUCUCUUCUCAGGAUAUUCAGGUUGAGCGUCCUGGUUCAGACGCUGCUGCCUGCAUUGUGAUCUGGGAGCCCAGACUGAGCAGCUGCUGCUCCCCCGGUGGGGUCUGGGCUCGGCAGUGACUUGGAGUGAAGCUUCCUCUGUGCCCAGGCAAGGCUACAGAAUAACGUCCACGUUUCGCCCCAAAUCAUCCCCUCCUCCCAGGGGGAAGGAAAU